AUGGCGGACACUGCCACGUCAACCGGCGACGUGUGUGCCGCCCGCUCGAGUACGGCGGCCUCAGGGUCCAGGACCUGGAGCGUGCUGGCCUCGCGCUGCGCCUGCGCUGGAUGUGGUUCUCCCACACGGACGACGAGCGCGCAUGGCGAGGCCUCGACCUCCAGUUUUCCCGCGAGGAGCGCGCAUUGUUCUUCGCAUCGACGACAAUGGAGCUUGGCGAUGGACUGA
This 228-nucleotide ribosomal RNA is filed under the name Triticum aestivum (bread wheat). RNAcentral describes it as "partial small subunit ribosomal RNA". Lineage: Eukaryota; Viridiplantae; Streptophyta; Magnoliopsida; Poales; Poaceae. The record is from RNAcentral.